Molecule: ribosomal RNA, 497 nt
Filed under: uncultured bacterium
Lineage: Bacteria
Description: partial 16S ribosomal RNA
Rfam family: Bacterial small subunit ribosomal RNA
Source: RNAcentral
GAUGAACGCUGGCGGCGUGCCUAAUACAUGCAAGUCGAGCGAACAGGCGAGGCGCUUGCUCCUCUGACGUUAGCGGCGGACGUGUGAGUAACACGUGGAUAACCUACCUAUAAGACUGGGAUAACUUCGGGAAACCGGAGCUAAUACCGGAUAAUAUAUUGAACCGCAUGGUUCAAUAGUGAAAUACGGUUUUGCGGUCUCGUAUAGAUGGAUCCGCGCUGCAUUAGCUAGUUGGUAAGGUAACGGCUUACCAAGGCAACGAUGCGUAGCCGACCUGAGAGGGUGGUCGGCGACCCUGGAGGUGAGACACGGACCAGAGUCCUGCGGGAGGCAGCAGUAGGGAAUCUUCGGCAAUGGGGGAAAGCCUGACGGAGCGACGGCGCGUCAGUGAUGGAGAUCUUGGGAUCGUAAAACCCUGUUAUUGGGGAAGAACAGAUGUGUAAGUAACUGUGCACGGCUUGACGGUACCUGGUCAGAAAGCCACGGCUAACUACGUG